ACGCACGCUGGCGGCGUGCUUAACACCUGCAAGUCGCACGGAAAGGCCCUGCUUUUGUGGGGUGCUCGAGUGGCGAACGGGUGAGUAACACGUGAGUAACCUGCCCUUGACUUUGGGAUAACUUCAGGAAACUGGGGCUAAUACCGGAUAGGAGCUCCUGCUGCAUGGUGGGGGUUGGAAAGUUUCGGCGGUUGGGGAUGGACUCGCGGCUUAUCAGCUUGUUGGUGGGGUAGUGGCUUACCAAGGCUUUGACGGGUAGCCGGCCUGAGAGGGUGACCGGCCACAUUGGGACUGAGAUACGGCCCAGACUCCUACGGGAGGCAGCAGUGGGGAAUAUUGCACAAUGGGCGGAAGCCUGAUGCAGCAUCGCCGCGUGCGGGAUGACGGCCUUCGGGUUGUAAACCGCUUUCGCCUGUGACGAAGCGUGAGUGACGGUAAUGGGUAAAGAAGCACCGGCUAACUACGUG
Molecule: ribosomal RNA, 467 nt
Filed under: uncultured bacterium
Lineage: Bacteria
Description: partial 16S ribosomal RNA
Rfam family: Bacterial small subunit ribosomal RNA
Source: RNAcentral